Long non-coding RNA from Arvicola amphibius (Eurasian water vole), 1020 nucleotides. RefSeq lists it as uncharacterized. The record is from RefSeq and is a predicted model, not a curated record. NCBI's taxonomy places the organism in Eukaryota, Metazoa, Chordata, Mammalia, Rodentia, Cricetidae. The transcript is spliced from 2 exons.
GAGAGAGAGAGAGAGAGAGAGAGAAGAGAGAGAGGAUUCCAACUUUUCCUCAAAAUAGCUUAAGUAAAGAGAUGACCCGGCACAAUGCCCUUGGGAACACACAGAUCCACAUUCUGUUUGAGAGUCAUUGGCAAGGAAAAUUAAAAUUAAAUAUUAACCUCCACAAAGCAACCUGCAAUCCUGUUACCAAAUACCAAUCAUUACUAAAGGUCUUCAUCAAAAACACAAUUCUAUUGCUCUUAGGGAUGAAACCGUCUCCACUCUAUUUUUGGGAAACAUACUAACUCCUAUAUUCCUGGCCUUCCUUUCCCUCUCCUCACUUCCCAAGGGAAAGAUUUCUUUUCCCUAGUUUUUCUCCAAUGGACAGUAGUGGCCUCGACUCCUGGAAAGGGAAAGGAUGACAAUUGUCCCCUACAUGUGAAGCUACAUAACUAUCACUUCAUACAGGGUUCUGUAGGUUUCUAAUUCAGAGGGAUAACCAGAUCUCUACUGGGAACAAUUCAUAUUAAGAACAGUUUGCCUAUUUUUUAGAUUUAUUAUCAUUAUUAUAUGUAUUGUUUAUGUGUACAUAAAUGUAGGUGCCUUCAGAGGCCGGAAGUGUCAGACUCCCCUGGAGCUGGAGUUAUAGGCAGUUGUGACUGACUUGGGUGCUGGGAAUUAAACUUAGGUCCUCUGCAAGAGCUCAUAGGUGCCCUCACCCAUGAGCCAUACCUGAUCCUGUGUAUGGUGUGGCAUUAGUGGUAUGGUACUAGGCAUUGCUGCCUUCCAAUUCCUUAUUGUGGCUCAUUUCUGAAUUUCUUCUUGGAUGCUUGUUGUAGGAAGCCGCUUGUUUGUUCCUGGCUGCUCAGCCCUAAAAUAAUCACACAGAAACUAUAUUAAAUCACUGCUUGGCCCAUUAGCUCUAGCUUCUUAUUGGCUACCUCUUAUAUCCUAAUUUAACCCAUCUCAAUCUGUAUAUUGCAACAUGGUUGUGGCUUACCAACAAAGUUCCAUUUUGUCUGUUCUGGUGGUGGCUACAUA